AUUGCUGCCCAAAGAAACACGACAAACAGGCAGCAACAAGAUAAUAUUGUCAGUACUCACGGUCGGCAGUCAUACGCUCAGCGUGAAUGGCGUUACGCUGAAGAUAAUGAUGGGCGACGUGAGGAGCCGCCUGAGUUCUAUUUGCGGGCCCACACGAGACGAGAUGGGACGGUGCAGAACGCAGCUAGGCCCAUUUAUGAGCGGCUUCUUGAUACCCACCAUAGACUUUCCCAAGUGCCCAAUACCCCGCCUACGCAGACAUUUGUGGACGCUUUAGGGACCCGAUCGGGACAUACUCGUGUGGUUGGGCGUGUGGUUAGGGGAACACGUGGACUGAAUGUCCCCCUCCCAGAGGAUAUAGA
Molecule: long non-coding RNA, 362 nt
Organism: Erigeron canadensis
Lineage: Eukaryota; Viridiplantae; Streptophyta; Magnoliopsida; Asterales; Asteraceae
Exons: 3
Source: RefSeq, a predicted model, not a curated record